Long non-coding RNA from Acinonyx jubatus (cheetah), 6181 nucleotides. RefSeq lists it as uncharacterized. The record is from RefSeq and is a predicted model, not a curated record. The transcript has 6 exons. Lineage: Eukaryota; Metazoa; Chordata; Mammalia; Carnivora; Felidae.
CCUCAGACUUGCGCAGUGCCGCCGAUAGGGGUGGGACUAGCGGCUAGCUCAGGCCUGGCGGUUGGGGAGGCGGUUUAGAACACAUGCGGAAGCUCCUAAGCCGGUAUUUGAAACGGAAACUCAUCGGUUAAAAUAGAAAUACCGGUACCUGGAAACCUGGAACUUGUCUUUUCGAAGCCACCUUUCCCGUCAUCACCUCUGCCUCUCCGGGUUCCCAUAAUCGUCCUUAUGGACCUUUGGUCGUGUGGUUGCCUGCAGAACGCCUCCUGGACCCCCGGCUGGUUGAACUCCCAAUACCUUGUCAGGCCUCUUAGAGGGACUGUCCAGUGCAGUACUGUGAAAAAAACCAUCACAGUGGAGACGCCCAUUGCUGCACACACAUAGGCACCUCCGGCGCGCAGUUUUUCUGGUUAGCUCCAAUUACGAGGUCACGACACACAUCUCCAGCUAAUUUAUGCACAGCUCCAAUUCUGUGCAGGGAGGAUGCAAAACGGCAAACUAUCCAUGGUAGGACUUUCUGGAGCAUCAAUUCUACAAGAUUUGGAAGAAAUGAAGUCAUUUCCAAGGCAAAAGAGGAGAAACACUACUUGGGGAGCACUGUUAUGUGCCAGGACUAUGAUCAUCAAGAAGGCGGAGGCCACAGGAUUGCACCUCAACCCCGGGGACCUGCCAAAGAACUGCCACCAAAUUUUCAAUCGAGGACCCUUGCAGAACUCUUCAGUGACCUCACCGAGCGGUGUGCCUCUGGAAAAAACUCAACACUCACCCUAAAUGAGAUGUCUCUUCCCCAUGCCUGGGAGGAUAGGGGAUAGAUCCUCUAGGGGCGGAUGCCUGGGCACAGAUGUGACCCAGCAGCUCUGGAGCGAGUGGGUGUACUCAGGCGAACAGAGAGAGAGCAUGAACGGGGGAGGGUCAGAGAGAGAGAGGGAGACACAGAAUCUGAAACAGGCUCCAGGUUCUGAGCUGUCAGCACAGAGCCCGACGCGGGGCUUGAACUCACGAACCGCGAGAUCGUGACCUGAGCCGACGUCAGACGCUUAACUGACUGAGCCACCCAGACACCCCAGUAAGUGAAUUUUAAAUAUACAGGAGUUCAUCCGCAAGACCUCAGUCUACAUUUGUUCUCUAGCUAGUAAGAUUUUGACAGGAGGCAGGAGAAGAGCGGGAAGGCCACCCUGCUGGGCACCACCGUAGAUGCGUUUAGAUCUGGAUCAGGCUCCCACACCAGGGGGCCCACCUGUGUGCUAACCGGCCUACAAGGCACUGUCCCUCGGGCUGAACAGGGCUCCAUACAACCUCAAUGUUGCCAGCACUCUGGACAACUUCAUUUUUCUUUCAUAUUUUUGAGGUAGAACCUCAAAAUACCGUGUCCUGCAUAUGCAGAGGACUUAGGGGCCCGCAAACAAGUGAAUUCACAAGAAGCUCCGAAGAUUACCACACAAGUGUUUGGUGUCGUCUUGUGUAUUACUGAAUUGUCCAUUAAUCAAGAGACUCGGUGUAACAACCUCAACAGGAUGUCAAAAGCAGGACUGCAGAAGCCCCAGGCUUGAGCCAAGGGAGGCCGUAGACCCAAGAUUCAAAGCACAUGCUCCGGACACCAGCUCUGCGAUUGUACAAACUGCUUAACCCCAUUCAACAUUCAUUUCCUAGUCUGAAGCAUCUCCCAUCCCUGAUAAACACAGAAGACGAGAGAAAAGAGUAGGAGGGAAGAAGUACCCCAGGAUGACAGUCCAGUCUCUGAAGAUUCACCCAGGUUGGGACAGAGGACCUGCCCGAAGCCAGGACGAGCCUCUCCUCUUAUCUCCCCGGUGGCACCCAGCCAUCCUUUAAGCUCACCAUUAUUUUUUGAUUCAGUGCUUUUGAAUGCUGUGGAAGCACAGGUACUCCCUUGAUUUGAAUCCCAUGCAGACCACCUUGGCAGUCUGCACCUGCCAUCCUUCCCUGCCUGUGGUCCUCGGUGUCCCCACGUACAAGCCGUAAGCUCCUUGCACCACUCCCAUCUCCACGGCUGUCGGUGUCAGCCGUGGCCCACCUCCCACACCUGCUGCUGGGCUCUGUGGAGCUCAGGAUCUUCUUGCUGCCCAUAUAAAAACAGUCUUUGGUUUUGUCCCUUCUUUGGCUAUCCACCAUGUGAGCUUUCAUUGGCUUCAUUGUGGUUUAAGGGCCACAUCGGUUCUUUCCAGGUAGCCUGAAACACGGUAUCUGCCUGAGUAAGAAGUUGAAGAAGCUCCCAGCAGCCCAGUCAGCCGUGGGGGUUGCCAGAGGGAGAGGCUGGGGUCCUAUCACCGGGCCACCCAGCAUGGAGGGAGUUGCCAGUUGUAGGACAAACCCUGGGGGCAGCUGGUUCCGUGUGGGGCAUCACCACUGCUGCUGAUGCUGUGGGUGGAGGGGAGGCCCCAGGGUCACACUAGGGACUGUGCUGGGGAAAGGGAUGGUCCUUGUGUCUUGGUGCGGGACUGGCAGGCACUUUGGAUGGGCUGCUGGCCUUCCACUGACUCCCGGUGCUCCCCAGUCCGCUGACUUUCUGAGUUACAGAACACAGCAGAGGUGGGCAGGCCCACCGAAACCAGGCUCCUCCGGGUUGGCAGAGACCCUGGACUGAAGCCUGUGGGAGCGGGAAGGACAGCAACUAUUGGCAGGAUCAGCUGAAGGCAGAGGCUUCGCAGCAAUGGUCCACCCUCCACCUUGGGGCUCUUGCAGCCUAGGAUCAGGUAGUUGGCCAUCACUUCCUCUUAAUUCUGGCCCAUCAGCAGGUCCUGCAUCUGGUCCCACUCAUAGCCCACAGAUAAUGUCACCUCAGUUCUGCCAGGGAUCCUGGUAGUCAGGGAGUGGCUCGCUGUAAGGCUUUAGUAGUUCUGCUUCACGGGCCAUGGUCAUCCAUGGGUCCUUCAUGGUUUCCUCUAAAGUGCUUCUCUCACUGGGACUGAGGGGCAGGAAUCUCUCUAGUAGGUCUCCCACGCUCCACAGACGUGGAAAGGGGAACGUGGCAUAUCCUGCUCAGCACCCACUCCCACAGCUCCCUGAAGUCCUGCCAAGGCAGGGACCUGCUGGUCACUGGACAGUCAUUGUAUAGAGGAUGGCUCCAGGCUCCACCCAUCUCCUACGAGACUGUUGUACUCUUGGUGUAAGGGGGACUACCACAGAAGGGAGUCAGCUUAUGGCCGGCGGUGAACUCAUUGCUGAAUCCAGAGUAUGCAACCUUGAUGUUCGGGUCAGAUUCCAAAAGCAGGCUCUCUGGCUUUAGGUCCCUGUGGAUGACACCUUCCUGGUGGUGGUACUACACAGUGGACGCUAUCUGGCAGAAUCUGCCUCGGGGCUCCCCCUUUCUCAUGCAGGCAUGGCGCAUUCAAACACCUGUCCUUCGCUAGUGGACUCCGUGACCGUGACCGGGUCGCCUGCUUCCAUGGUGCCAGCGACCUCAAGUAGUUUCAUGACUCAGGGGUUGUGAUUCAGGGCCUUCAUGCUCUGGACUUCAAGGAAUAGUCUCUGGAGGCUGGAGGAGCCCUGCUGACUCUUGUUAAUGACCUUCAUGGACGCCUCUGUCCCACUCGGGCUGUGCCAGACCAACCCCACCUGGGCAAAGCUGCCCUGGCCAACAGUCCUGAGGAGCCGGUGGUGGUUACUGUGGCUCUCCCGGUCACAGGAUGGCCACAAGGCCCCGCAGCUCAGUGACUCACUGCUAGGAAUGCUAACUAAAAGUGCCCACUAACAGUACUAACAAACUAAAUAAAGAUGGGAAAGAAAAGAAAAAAAUGAGAAAAGAGAGGGAAAAAGCAAAACUGUGGCCAAAAGUCCCUCAGGUCCCCAGACACCAGCUUCCUGGCCUAAAAAAACCAAAACAUGUAGGCCUGGCCAAGGGCUAAUACAGAGAGGUGCUUAGGAUUUUCUCUCGAUGGCUCUUCUUGAGAUCAGUGCAAGAAAUGUACCUGUAAGGCUGGGGAUAAUUCACAGUGGUUUUCCCACUUGGUUCUCAGGAACCUUUACUCUUAAAAGCGCUGGGGAGGGAUGCCCCCAGAGGCUUUUUUGUUUACGUGUCUUAUAGUGAUUGAUACAUACCUUACUAGAAAUUAAAACCUGAAGGAUGCUUCAGUAGCCUUUUCAUGUCUAGUUUGGGAAUCUGUAAUAAUUUUUGAUGUUUAAAGAAAGCCAUGAUAUCUAUACUUAGAAUAAUUCAAUUCCUUUUUCUUUAAACUCUGGAUGAUCGGUCUCAAAAUGAUACCACAAUUUAACUGGCUUCACAAUAGCCAAUGACAAAGACUCUCCCUGACUAAACUUGAGUCGUUCUCCUCUAGGUCUGGACCUUGCAGCCUGCCCUUGUCUGGCCUGCAUCACCCAGUUGUAGCAAGAACCUUGCCAAGUCAGUUUAAAGAGAACUCCCCACCCUCAAUAGCUCAUAACAUUCUUCACACACACACCUCACCUUUGGUGUCUGUGAAAUAAUAGAAAAUAUAUAUUGGUUUCUGUCCCUGGUUCUUGGCACAGGCUCCUGAAAGCCUUCUAAUUUCCUAAGUGUUAAGACACUAGGAGCAUCUCGUUUUCUAAUAUUUGGUCUUUAACCCCAGUUCCUGAUUCAGGGCUCCUAAAUUCCUUGGAAUAUCCUGGGUGGUAGGAAUGUCUUGUUCUAAUGAGGCAACUCUGGAUGGGCUCCUGGAUGACUCCUGGAGGGGAGUCUUUCUGACUGUUAGCAAAAGGCCAAGCCAUGAUUAGAAGCUUGGAAUUUUCAGCUCCAUACCCCCUCCCCAAUCCUCCAGAAAGGGGAAAGGGGCUGGAAGUGGAGUUAAUGAUCUGUCAUGCCUACGUGAGGAAGCCUCCAUAAAAAUCCCAACAGUAUGGGGUUCAGAGAGUUUCCAUAUGGGUGAACACAUCCACACUGGGAGCGUGAGGUACCCCAACUCCAUGGGGACAGAAGUUCCUGUGCUCGGGACCCUCCCAGACCUCACUCCAUGUAUCUCUUCAUCUAACUGAUCAUGUAUCCUUUAUCACAUCCUUUAAUAAAUGUAAGCGGAAGUGACUGGGUUUUCCUUUGUAUGGCAUCUGACCACCCUGGCCUGCCCACAGCAAGAAUCCUGUUAGAUCUGUUUAACUAGAAUCCUGCCAUCCCUGAGGUUUCCUUAGUAGUUUUCCAUCUACUGACCCCAACCCUGCUCCUUGGCUAUAAACCCCCACUUUGUGCUCUACUGGGGAUGGGUUCCAGUUCUAUACUGAGGCCUCUUUUUCCCCCUAUUGCGGUAAUUCCUGAAUAAAACUUGCUUUUACUGCUUUAACUACUACUGUCCCGCUCUGGGUUUGUUUGUUUUUUGUUUGUUUUUCUUAACACAGUAGGGAAAUAUUCUGUUGCAUAAGACACAACAAGGUACAUUAUUGACUUCUUUUCUAAGAGAGGAAGAGUACACACACAAGCAGAAAAGGGGCAGAGAGAGAAUCCCAAACAGUCUCUAUGCCAUGAGUACAGAACUGACGCGGGAAGCUUGAUCUCAUGAACCCUGAGAUCAUGACCUGAGCCGAGUUCAAGCUGCUUAACUGACUGAGCCACCCAGGCUCCCCUGUUAUUAACUUCUACAACGCUGAAGGGAAGUUAGCUUUCAUCAUAUUUUUAUUUCUUAGUUACAAAUUUUGCCCAGAGUCUGGAGUAGAUUUCUCCCUUCCAUAAGCCAGAGAACUUGCUCUGUCCAUGGCAGUAUCCUUAAAUGUAAAUAUUGAGGGGAGCCUGGGUGGCUCGGUCAGUUAAGCAUCUGACUUUGGCUCAGGCCAUGAUCUCUCAGUUCAUGGGAUCAAGCCCUGCUUUGGGCCCUGCGCUGACCCCCAGGAGCUUGCUUGGGAUUUUCCCUCUCCCUCUCUCUCUCUGCGCCCCGCCCCCCACUCAGGCUCUCUCUCAAAAUAAAUUAACUUUUCAAAAAUGUAAAAUAAAAUAUUAUUUGAAAGACAGAGCGCAGAGGAAUCAUUGAAAAUAUUGACGUGAACAAGUUAUUAAUUUAAUAUGUUCAUUGAAAACUAUUUAAAAAUCUAUGACUCAAGGAACUUCAGUUAGGUAGAAUGAAUCAAUAUUGUUAACCUUUAUGGGUGUUUGUCAGUAAAUAUUAACUGAUCCUCCCAAUGGGCCAGGCAUUGUGCUAAGUAUCAGAACACAGAAGCAUGGAGUCUAUCAAAUGUGACACGGUACUGUGUAUUAACUUAAGAAAUA